GAGGAAGGCAAAUGUAUUCCAUAUUUCAAGCAACAUUUGGCUUUAAUAAUAAUACUACAAAGGGAAGAGAUGUUGCCGAGACAGAAAGCAGUAUUCAUGGAGAAAGAAUCAGAAAAGUGGAGAAGCAGGAUCAUAUUUUGAGAUAGAACAGCUAAUAGCUGAAGAACUCUGCCAUGAAAGUCCCAAGCAGCCCAGCCUUAGCAGGUAGCAAAGAACAGAAUGUGUACAGAAAUAAUACAUCUACAACUGAUGCCUGGAAGCACAAGUACAAGUGGCUUUUUUUUUUUUCCUGAGGUCCUCAAAAUCAAAAUCUGUACUUUCUGUGGGAACCAGUUGUCAUGGGGGGGUUUUCAGAAUUAUAAAUCAAUGGCAACUGUAAUCUAAUUCCUCAAGUCAAACUAUUUGGUUCAAGUUUGCAAAUGUGAAAUAAGCUUGCUUUCAUCAU
Molecule: long non-coding RNA, 445 nt
Organism: Passer domesticus (house sparrow)
Lineage: Eukaryota; Metazoa; Chordata; Aves; Passeriformes; Passeridae
Exons: 3
Source: RefSeq, a predicted model, not a curated record